UUGCUUGCUUUGACAGCACAUAUACUAAAAUCAGAAUAAUACAGAGAAGAUUAGCAUGGUCCCUGCACAAGGAUGACAUGCAAAUUUGUGAAGCAUUCCAUAUUUUU
This is a small nuclear RNA of Colobus angolensis palliatus, 107 nucleotides long. The record is from Ensembl. NCBI's taxonomy places the organism in Eukaryota, Metazoa, Chordata, Mammalia, Primates, Cercopithecidae.